AAGCGGAGGAAAAAAAACCAACCGGGAUUGCCUUAGUAACGGCGAGUGAWGCGGCAAAAGCUCAAAUUUGAAAUCUGGUACCUUCGGUGCCCGAGUUGUAAUUUGGAGAGGGCAACUUUGGGGCCGUUCCUUGUCUAUGUUCCUUGGAACAGGACGUCAUAGAGGGUGAGAAUCCCGUGUGGCGAGGAGUGCGGUUCUUUGUAAAGUGCCUUCGAAGAGUCGAGUUGUUUGGGAAUGCAGCUCUAAGUGGGUGGUAAAUUCCAUCUAAAGCUAAAUAUUGGCGAGAGACCGAUAGCGAACAAGUACAGUGAUGGAAAGAUGAAAAGAACUUUGAAAAGAGAGUGAAAAAGUACGUGAAAUUGUUGAAAGGGAAGGGCAUUUGAUCAGACAUGGUGUUUUGUGCCCUCUGCUCCUUGUGGGUAGGGGAAUCUCGCAUUUCACUGGGCCAGCAUCAGUUUUGGUGGCAGGAUAAAUCCAUAGGAAUGUAGCUUGCCUCGGUAAGUAUUAUAGCCUGUGGGAAUACUGCCAGCUGGGACUGAGGACUGCGACGUAAGUCAAGGAUGCUGGCAUAAUGGUUAUAUGCCGCUCGUCUUG
This 594-nucleotide ribosomal RNA is filed under the name Saccharomyces cerevisiae (brewer's yeast). RNAcentral describes it as "eukaryotic LSU rRNA". It matches the Rfam family "Eukaryotic large subunit ribosomal RNA", at positions 48 to 656 of the family's 3401-position model. The record is from RNAcentral. Lineage: Eukaryota; Fungi; Ascomycota; Saccharomycetes; Saccharomycetales; Saccharomycetaceae.